GAAGUGAAACCUAUCUUCAGGUAGCGGUUUGGUGAAUAUGUCAUGUCAUUGGUGUUCAAUGUCUACAACUUGAAUGUUUAAUGCUCUUUUUUGAACAAAGUCCAUAAUAAAGUGGUGUUUGAUCUCUAUGUGUUUAGCUCUAGAAUGUAAAAUAGGGUUUUUGGUAAAAAAAAAAACGGUAGAAGUAUUGUCGUAGUAGAUGGGAAUGUUGGAUUCUAGGAUUUUGUAGUCUUUAAGUUGAUAUUUCAUCCAAAGUAGUUGAGAACUACAACCAGUUGCUGAAAAGUACACAACCUCUGUUGUUGACAUUACGAUGGUGUUUUGUCUCUUACUUGACCAAGAUAUUAAGUUGUCACCUAAAAAUGUGCAGUUGCCACUAGCGCUCUCUCAAGUUUAUCUCCAGCAUAAUCAAAAUCACAAUAUCCACUAAGUUUGUACUUAUGAGAUUUCUUGUAGAACAAGGUAAGGCUGGUAGUGCCUUUUAGGUAUCUAAGAAUUCUAUUAACAAUAGUUAAAUGUGAUUCUCUAAGGUCAGCUUGAAAUCUUGCACAUACACAUACAUUAAACGUGAUGUUAGGUCUGGAAGCAGUAAGGUAAUAUAGGGAUCCUAUCAUUCAUCUAUAGGUUUUUUGGUCAACUUUUUUGCCUGAAUCAUCGUUUUCAAAUGAACAAUAUGGUGAAUUGGUGUAGCCAUAGAUUUGCAAUCACUCAUCUUAAACUUCCUAAGAAGCUCUUUUGUAUAUUUAGUUUGAUGAAUGUAUAUACCCUUUUUACUUCGCUGAAUUUGUGUCCCUAAGAAGAACUAAAGUUCUUCCAUCACACUCAUUUGAAAUUCAAGCUACAUCAAUUUAGAAAAUUCUUGACAAAGAGUGCCAUUAGUAGCUCCAAACAUAAUAUCAACAUAAAUUUGAAUAAUGAGAAUGUCAUCUCUUAAUGAUUUUCUAAAGAGUGUAUUAUCAACAUAUCCUCUUUCAAAGUUAUUUUUAAGCAAGAAGUUACUACGUCUAUCAUACCAUGCCUUAAGGUACUUUUUUUAGAUUAUAAAUAGAUUUCUUAAGUUAAAAAACAUGAUUUGAAAAUUCAGUACUUUCAAUACCUGGGGGUUGUUUAACAUAGACUUCUUCACUUAAAUAACCAUUUAGAAAAUCACUUUUAACAUCCAUUUGAAAUGAUGUAAUGUUAUUAUUUUUACAAAAGAAAGUAGAAUAUGACUAGCUUCUAACCUGGCCACCAGAGCAAAUAUCUCAGUGUAAUUAAUGCCCUCUAGCUGAUUAUAGCCUUGUGCGAUAAGUCUUGUCUUGUUUCUGACCACUUCACCUUUUUCAUUUAACUAGUUUCUAAAAACCCACUUUUUCAAAUAAUAUUUCUCUUUGGUCUAUGUACUACAUCCCAAACAUCAUUCCUCUUAAAUUCAUUUAACUUUUCUUGCAUUGCAAGAAUCUGUCCAUCAUCUGCCAAUGCUUCAUCAAUAGUGGUUGGCUUAAUUAACAAGAGUGAGCCAAACAAAGUGGUAUCUUAAAUGAUGAUAUGAUCCUCAAAGGAUCACUUGAACUUCUAAUGAGAUGAGAUGUCUUGUACUUCAAUCCAGAUCUUCCUUUUGACUUAUCUUGACUGAUACUAACUUGAUUAGAUUUAUCCUAUGAAGAUUUGUCAUCUUCUAAUUUGUCUGCAGCUACUUCCUUUGGUUCCGAUAUGCCUACAGUAUCCUCAACUUGCUAUGAUUGUAUGCUACUUCAGCUAAAGUGUUCAGAUUAUGGGUAUCUCCUUAUUCCUCCACAUUUUUUAGAACCUGCAAAAUACUUAUCUAGCUUUGAUUUUUAAGAUUAAGCUUGUUAUUAUGGUAUCAAACAAUAAUUAAAUUUAAGGAAAGAUAUCACCUAUAUGUUAACAGUUUCAGUUUCACUCUGAAAACCCUAUUAGUUCUUCUUUUCUGGUUUCUAGAUUCGGAGUUUGCAUAUUCUCUGAUUAGGAGUCUGGAUGAAGGGAUUUGACUUUCCUUCCAAUUUGUAGUCUUGAUGAAUUUGAUUGGAGUUUUCAAAGAAGACUCCUGAUUCUAAAUUUUCAAUUGACACUUCUGUUUUUGUUGAUGUAUCGAGUUCCUUUGGUAAUUUUGGAACUAAUGGUAAUUCUAACUCUUUUGGUAGUUUCAGUUCUAUUGAUAUGUGUGAUUUCUCUGUCAGUUUUGAUUAUCUCGAUACUUCAGAUUUUUCUGAUAUUUCUAGUUCAUCAUAUGGUUCUGGUUCUGAUAAGUAUUGUGUUGACCAUUCCUUCUUCCACCAGAGUCAAUUGGCUUCUGUUUAGUAGGGCUUGGAACAUAGACCUUUUUGCCUUCAUAUAUUGCAAGCAUCCAUUGACCUGGCGCCAUGACUAAUGUUUCAAUUUGGUUGCUUAGAACAUCUACAACAUAAACAAUUUUAUCCAUUGGUACUCAAAUCUGGUUAGGUUCUGGUUUGUUAAAUGUUAAAGAUUUCUUGUCUUUCCAUGUGGUAAACAUAGGACUAGAUAUUUUAGUGUGACCUUUCUUAUAGAAAAUAGUACAUAAAUCAUCAAAUGGAACAAACUUAGGUUUAGUUCAUAUUUCUUGAAAUUCUAUUCCUCUUUUAUCAUUCCUACUAACAACAUAAAUCAUAGAUGCAUAUUUGCUUCUUUCCCNNNNNNNNNNNNNNNNNNNNNNNNNNNNNNNNNNNNNNNNNNNNNNNNNNNNNNNNNNNNNNNNNNNNNNNNNNNNNNNNNNNNNNNNNNNNNNNNNNNNNNNNNNNNNNNNNNNNNNNNNNNNNNNNUUCCCUACCAUUAUCAAGAAAAUCCUGAAAUAUUUUUUCAUUCUUAUAAAAGUUACAUGUGGUAUUUUCAAUUGAUGUUAAACUAUAAUUAUUUUUCAGAGUUAGAUUUUCAGCCUAAAGUUCAUCAAUAUCAGUUUUCAUAUUUGCAUUUUAUGUUUUAAGUUUAGUAAUAUCAGUUUUCAGAGUUGCAUUAUUUGUCUUAACUUUAGUAAUGUUAGUUUUAAGAGUUGCAUUUUCUGUUUAAAAUUCAACACUUUGAUUCUUUAAAACAUUAGCUUUUUUAGUUAGAUUUAUAUAUUAUUUCCUAAGUGUUUUUCAGUUUUAAAGACAAUUUGUGAUUCAUUUAAAAAAAAUCAUUUACAGCAGUAACUAAAGCAGAUUGAGUAAAGUCAAAAAAUACCUCAAUUUGUUCAUCUGCUGAUUCACUUCAAGAGUAAGAAUUUGUGUUGGAUCCAGAGGCAGAGUAGGUAUGAGUCAUCAUAGCCAUAUCUGGUUGUUCAUCGUUAGAUGAUUCCUCAGAAUCAUCCCAUAUAGCUCUCAAACUCUUCUUCUUGGGUAAGGAGUUUUUCCUCGAUUGUUUUCCUUUCUCCAUAUUUGGACAUUCUAACUUGAUAUGUCCAAGUUCAUUGCAUUCAUAGUAGAUUAUGCUUUUCUUGUCAUAUUUAUCAUCAUUACCUUUGUUGAAUUGCUUGUAAUAUCUUUGGGGAAUUUUCUUCUUUCUGUUAUGCCACAUCUUCUAAACUUUUCUACAUAUAAAUGUCAAUUCCUCUUCCUCUAAGUCUUCAUUGUGAUCAUCUGAAUCAUCAUCCUCUGAUUCUGUUGUUGCCUUCAUAACUUUCUUCUGCUUGGAUUUCAAAGCCACGGUUGGUUGUUUCUUCUUGGGUUCAUCCUCUACAAGGUCAAUUUCAUGUGAUCUGAGAGAGCUGAUUAAUUCUUCCAGCUUAAGAGUAUUCAGAUCAUUUGCUUCUUGAACGACUGUGAUGUUAGGUCUCCACUAGUUUGUCAGACUUCUUAGAAUUUUCUUCACAUGAUCAACAGUAGUAUAACUCUUCUCAAGUACCUUUAAUCUUAAGACCAGGGUUUGGAAUGUGGAAAACAUUGUUUCAAUGUCUUCAUCUUCUUCCAUCUUGAACAAUUCUUACUUUUUGACUAGGAGGUUGACCUUUGGUUCUUGAACUUCUUUGCUUCCUUCCUAGGUCAAAAUCAGACUAUCAUAAAUACUCUUUGUUGUCUCCUUGUUAGUGCACUUGUCCAACUCCUUGAAGGUGAUUGCAUUUAUUAUGAAUGUUAUGGACUUAUGAUGCAUCUUGUAUAUAUUCUUCUCAUCAACAUUCAUCUCUUUUCUUGGAAUUUCAAUACCAUCAGUAUUCUUCAGAGCAAUAUAACCAUCGUCCACCAAGUCCCAAAGUUGAGGAUCUUGUGAAAUAGAGAAACUUCUCAGCCUGUCUUUCUAAUACUCAAAACGUUCUCCAUUAAACGAAGGUGGUUUGUUGAUGUUUCCUCCAACAACUUCUUCAUUAAAUCUAGACAUAUUGAACCCUUGGAUCUUUUCUCAAACACUGUAAAGUGCUCAGCAUUGAGACCGAGAUCUGAUGCCAAUUGAAGGUGCAAACACGAGAAGCGGGGUUAAAUUUUGUUUGAUAAAGUUGAUGACUUUUUGUUAAUUUGAUGAAUAUUGGUUGGUUUUUAUGAAUUACUUAAAUAAGAAGCAAUCAGAUUCAAAAGCAGUAAACAAUGAAAGCAUAAAUAAUUUGAGACAUAUAUUUAUCCUGGAUCAUCACUUGCUUGACUACAUCUAGUCCCCUCAUUCAAAAGGCUUUAAUCCACUAAUUCAAAUAUAUUGAAUUACAAAAUAUCUGGCCCUCAAAGCCAGUCUUCCCAAAUAGCUUGACAACCCCAGACUUUUAAUGAACUAACCACCUUAGCCGUACAAGCCAAGUCUUCUCCUAACAACUGGACAACCCCAGAUUGAAGAAUGAACUAAACUACUAUCCAGUUGGAUACAAAAGAUUGGAACUUGAGUAGUUGCUUGUAACGAAGCUGAUAAUAAUAAUAACUCUUACACUAUAAGAAAAGAACACUCAGAAAAUAUUUCUAACAUGAAUAAGUGUUUCUCUAUUUGAACUCUAACAUGAAUUGAGAACUUUGAGCUUGUGUUCGUUUACUCUUUUCUGAUUUUUGAUGUUUUUCUCCUUCAUUUGGGCUUCAAUUUAGUCCUUAUUUAAUUCUGAGGCUCCUUGGAAAAUGAAAGACAUGAAUGAAGCUGCUUGGACAAAAUGAAAGACAUGAAUGAGGCUGCUUGGAAAGAUGUGAUGAAACUUCCUCCUAGAACAUGGACUAGGUCUGCAUUUUUCAUUAGUACACAAUGUGACCUACAAGUCAAAAAUAUGUGUGAGGCAUUCAACAAGGCGAGAUUGGAGCAUAGACAUAAACUAAUAAUAACAUUGCUUGAGGGUUUAAGGCACUAUAUUUAUGAUAAGAUUGUCACCCAACAGGAACAUAUGUCCAAACAUAUGGGCAACAUAUGUCCUAAGAUACAACAGUUGCUGGAAAAUGAAAAUAAGGCUGCUGAAGGUUAGAGUCCACGUUGGAUGGCUGAUGAUCCUUAGGAAAUGUUUGAAGUGUGCAACAAAUAUGAGACAUAUAAGGUUAACUUAGGAGCUAAGACAAGUGCAUGUAGGAAGGGGACAUAACAGGUAUACCAUGUUGCCACGUCAUUUCUUGCAUGUGGCAUAACAAUGUUGUCCCAGAGGAUUUUGUUUCAUCAUAUUACAGGUAAUAUAAUGGUAUUGUUUUUAUCUUUUAAUUAAAUAUGAUAAACCACAUUCUGACUAUAGUUUUAAUGUUUUAGGAAAAACACAUUUAUGUCUACAUAUGGAUACACAAUGAAACCAACAAAUGGUCCUACUAUGUGGUCUACAUCAAAGAGUGAACCAAUAAAUCCCCUUAUAAUUAGGAGAGCACCAGGCAUACCCAAGAAACAAAUAAAUAAAAGUAAUGAUGAAUCCAAAAGGUCAAACAUACUACCAAAAGCACUUCCGACUGUGAAAUGCAAAAAAUGUGGCAAGCUUAGGCACAACAAAAGGAAAUGCAAAGGUAAAACUGUUGCUAAACGUGAAAUUCUAAAAGGUGAAAAUAAAGUAAAAUUUUUACUGCUCAAUAAUUGAUGCUGAUGUUCUUAUAAAAUUUUAGUUGAUGCAUUGCUAAACCGCUACUUAUUCAAUAAUUGAUGUUGUUGUUUUUAUGUAGAGGACAAAGAGAAAAUGAAUAGAAGCAAGUCAAGGUGCACAUGUAGAUCUACAAGCACCUCAAGGAUCACAAGCAUCAAAUAUUGUAUUAACUCAGAGAUCACAAGCACCAAGUCAAAUUACUUAGGGUCGAAUGGCCUUAUAUAUGGCUUUAAUGACAUAAUUUUUUGUUUAAGCAUAAUAUGAAUAUGCAGGGGCCUGACUUCUAAUAUGUAAUUGCACUAUUAUUUUGUUUGAUUCUCUAAUUUUAAAAUGGCCUUGUUAUUUUGUAUGACAACUAAACUGACCCUUUUAUUUUGUACGACUUUGCUUGUAUACAUUACUAUUGUAAUUGUUGGUUUAAUACCAAACUGGUUUAAUUUGUGUUUAUUCUAGUUUAACUUAUUUAUUUUCUAUUUUAAUUUGGGUCUGGUUUAUAUUGGUACUAGUUUAAUUGAGACGGAUUUGUAGUGGAACAUGUUUAAUUGAGACUGGUUUAGGACUAGUCAUAUUCAGACUGUUUAGUUAGGAGUAGUUUAUAUUGAUAAUGGUUUGGGACUAGUUUGGAACUGAUUUAAUUGAGACUGGUUUAGUUAGGACUGGUUUGGAACCGAUUUAAUUGGGACUCGUUUAUAAUGAGACUGGUUUGUGACUGAUUUAAUUGGGGCUGGUUUAUAAUGAGACUCAUUUGGGGACUGGUUUAUGACUGAUUUUAAUGACACUGGUUUGGGACUGAUUUAAUUGGGAUUGGUUUAUAUUGAACAUAGACAUUACAUCUUAUUUGGAAUUGGUAUAGAACUAUAUAUUUGACAACAUUUAACACAAAAUAACAAGCAAAAUAAAUUGGCCACAUGCACCCAAUUUGACACAUUAUUUGGCAACAUGCACACAACUUGACAAUUUAACACACUAAUUUGACAAAUUAUUUUUCUAAGUUAUUGACACUGGUUUCAUUAUAUCAGUUAGAACAUUUGACACAAUUACAACAUUUCAUUAAAAAGAAAAUUAUUUGAUUAUAUGAACAUAGUCAUCACAAUUACAACAUCUUGACAAAAAUAACAAGCUAUACAUAAACCUAAACAACAAGCUAAGCAACAACCUAUUAAAAAGCAUGGGUUGCAACUAAGGCAAACACAAGUAUUACAACAAACACCUAAGGCAAACCAGAAGAAAAAAAUUUAUAUGAAAAGAAUCUAUAAGUCAUUUUAUUUGUGAUUCUAGAUCUAAUGAUGAAACGGGUUCUGACAGGUCCAACAGAGAUAAAGCUUCCUUCAAUUUGCAUUAUUCCAGGAAGGAACUCUUAAUUUUAUUUCUAUCAUCCACAAGCCAUCUUAGUCUCUCUAGAAAAUCAAGCAUUUUGGGUUGAUACCAUUCAACAUGAGUCAAUAUUUCUUCUACUUGCUCAAAAGUUGUAUUAUUUUGUUGCAAUGAAUUAUACAGCGAUGCAACCAUAUUUUCAUUUAGGCUAACUCGUCUUUCGUAAGUUCAACAGCUUCUAGUUCAGCUGGCUUCUCCUGCAAUUUGCUUAAUCAUUUCUCAAGCUCAUUGGGUUUAUCAGCCAAAGACAUCUUUAGUGAAUCUCUCUAUUGUACCAAUGCAUUUCUUUUUGUCACAAGGUGUUUAUUUUGAGGUCAUUCUUUGUCUAACUGAGGACCUGACAAUGUAUAAAGCAAAUUACAUACAAUUUAGAAAGUAUAUAAAUCAAAUCAUAGUUAUUUAGAGAAAAUAUGCAACUCCAAAAUGGGAAAUAUUAUCUCAAAUAGGAAAUCUCUAAACCCAAUUCAAAGCUAGCAUUAAAAACAUUAAACCAUUCACGAAAGCCCUAAACCCCAUUCAAAAUAUUAAACCAUUCACAAAAAAUCUAAACCCCAUUCAAAACUAACAUUAUUAGAUAGCAACCAAUCCGAACACACAUGACAAACCACAAAAAUCACAUACUUUGAUAUAUACUUUUCAUCCUCUUUUGUCCAUGAAGAAAGUAUUGAAUCAUGUGGAUUACUUGGAGUUCCAUCGCAAUUGAGUUUCGCGAUGGAUUUCUUGAAUUGAUUACAAACUACACAGAAAACAAGAAUGAGACGACAAUAAAUGUAUUGUUCUUUUUGACUUGCAAUAUGAUAUAAAUGUUAUGAGCAAAGUCUUCUAUCUUUCUCUCUCAUCAUUUUCAUUUGGACAAAAUUGUCAUAAGUUGGAUAUCAUCGUCAACUUCGUCAAUUUGAAAAAGUUAAUUUUUUAUCUCUUGAAAAUAUGUCCAUUAAGAAGAAGAUUCGUUGAGGAUGAGCAUAACAUGCUACGACUUUACAAGUAGUUGUUUGAAUUUACACAUUUUACUAUGUUAGCUUUUAGACUACAUUAUACUUAUUUCUAUAGAAUUUGAUAUCUGCCAUGAUUCCUGUGUUUUUAGAGUUACAUCAUCUGAUCAUAAAAGAAGCUUAGACUAAAUUUUUUUUUUUUUGACAUUGUAUAUGUGAAUUUAUCUUUUUAUUCUAAGGAUAAGUAUCAAAUAUAAUGUGAACUAAUGUAUUUAUACCAAAGCUUCACCAGACCAUUGGUGAAUAAAGUCACUUGUUCAUUGGUUGACAAUAUAUUUUAUGUGUUUCGUACAUAAAUAUUUAUUACUUUGUCACAACUUCUUAUGUUACUUAUGUAAGAUGUAUUCUUUCUAUGUUGUAAACAAUCUUCACACUUAAAGUAACCAAUUAAUGAAUAAUAUUUAUCUUUCUUAGUUAUCAUCACAACAUCAAUAGUAGGUAUGUGGUUCUUACAAUUGUGUGAUCUCACCAUAAAAGUAUAUGUCUCCUUUAUUGAAUAAAUCAUUUAAUGUAUGUAUAUAAUUAAUCAAAAAACUUUUAUUCAUCAACUUAUUCUUAUAAUUUAGAACAUACACGUAUACUUACAUAUAUACAUACAUACAUAUGUACAUAUACAAUAACAAAAUCAUUCUUAAGCACGCCAUUUAUUUCCUUACAAUUUUUUUUCAUUGUUUACUAUCCAUCCCUUGUACUUUAUUUAUUUCCUUGCAAUUUAUCUUUCUGCAAUUUAUUUUAUAUGCAAUUUACAUUUCCUACACUUUACAACUCUUGCACUUUACAUUUAUUGCAUAUAGGGAUGAUUGAAGUAGAAAUGUUAAUUUACAAGGAAGGGUGUUUGAAUUGUAAAUUCAACUAUUUAAAAUUUCCUAUAAAAAACUUACGAAAAUAACUCAAGAUCGAUCUUGGUUGUGAAAUCAGAAAACGGAGAACGUUCUUGGUUAGUUAAAAUUGACAAUUUAGCUUAUCUAUUUAACUUGAUAAUCAAAAAGACUGAAAGUAAAUAGAAAUAGGNNNNNNNNNNNNNNNNNNNNNNNNNNNNNNNNNNNNNNNNNNNNNNNNNNNNNNNNNNNNNNNNNNNNNNNNNNAAAGAGAUAUCACACAAUGAUAUAUCAUGGUUCACCCUACUCGAGCUACGUUUAGUCCUCACAACUGUGAGAUUUUUCGCUAAGCGUUCAAACAAAGAAUGUUCUUGGUUUUACACAGUUUUGUUCAGAUCAACCUUGAUUUGUAACAACAAUCUCUUUCCACCUAGAAAAGGAUUCAACCAAGUCACCUAUCAAUAUUUAGAGAGGAUUUUACAAUUUAUCUGAAACCAUAAAAGGAUUUUCUACAAGUUACUCAAACUAUAAACAACACUUAUAGUCUUGAGUUUACACAAUAAUGAUUUAAAGUGUUUGCAGAAUUUGAGUAAUCUCAACACUUGUUUGAGGUUAGAUUCUUUACAAAAGAUUUAAUAAAAUAAUGACAAGAGAUUUGAGACUGAUUCUUUUGAUGGAUGACAGACUUUCGAGUGUAUGAAUGUAAGUAAGUGAUGCAUUUUCUUAGCAAUUGAAGUUCUUACUUUUCCUUGAGCUUGGGGUUCCUUUUAUAGGCUUCAAGGAGGUUGAUGAAAACUAUUAUGACCGUUGGAAAGGUGUCCAUCUGUCAUGUAUCAGAUUUGACUAAAGACCAAACUUUUUGAACUAUGAAUGUUCUUGGCUUGAAUAUUAUGCAUUUUUUCUUUUGUUAUGAUCCUUUGGUUAUGCACACAAAUAUCUCAGAGAUGUGCUUAAUGUAUUCAAAUCAAGAAUGUUUUUUGAUUCAUGCAAAUACAGGUUGGAGAAUGAUGUACACAUGCUGGAGAUUGAUUGUUAAUAUACUGGAGAAUGAUGUUAACAUAUUGGAGACAAAUGUUAACAUGUUGGAGAAUGAUGUCCGCAUGCUGGAGAAUGAUCAUUUGUCACUUUUGCUUUGAGUCAUGCCUUUUAAUCUUUGAUCUUUUGGAGUGUUUCUUUUGUUGAUGUGAAAGUAGUAUAUUCCUUGUAGAUGUAUUGGAAAUGCAUUCGUAAUUUGCAGGAGCCUUACUUACAUUAACAGAUGAUUUGAACUUGCUUAAUGAAAAUGAAAAAAUGUGGAGAAUGUUCUUGGUUUUUCUAGAAUUUGUCAAGAACGUUCUUGAUUCUGUUUUGUUAUUUUUUGCUUUUUCCUUUAACUGUUUUUACUUGCAUUGCUUAGUACCUAUAUUGAAUUAUUACACUCAUAAAUACAUGUUAAAUUAACACAUCAUUUAGAAUCAUAAUUAGAGUCUUUAAUUAACCUUUGUUUGUUUACAUCAAAACAUUAAUUUUAGAUUUUACCUCAACAAUGACAACAUAAUAUGCAUCCGCGAGUAUCCACUUGAACCCGUCUUGAUUUGGAUGGAGAAAAUCCACUCUGAUUGGGUGUCGGUGUGGAUUUUCUCUAAAAUUAAAAUUUGGAGACGGAGACGGAUUUGGGAUGUUGAUAUCCACCCCGCACCCGAACUCACUCUGCUAGUAAUAUUAUUGUAAAUUUUAAAUUUAAUAUACAUGUACAUAUUAAAUAUACUUAAUAUUUUUAAAAAUAUUAAAAAUUAUAAUCUCAUCUCUAUAAAAAAAUUAUUUUAUUAUUGUCUAAUAAUAAUUAUUGUAUUAUAUUAAUUAUAAUAGAUUUGAUUUUUAAUUUAUAAUUUUAUAUAUAUAAAUGAAUGCAGGUGUAGGCGGAGAAACCUGAACUCCGUUGCUGGCAGGGAUGGUGGACUAAAUUUCACAUCCACAAAAACGGAUGCCAGUUUUUUUCGAUUAGCCAGAGGCGGAAGUGGAGAGGUAAAAUUCGAUUGCAUGCAUCGAUUGAGCCCAUGCAUUCUUGUUUGGGUUCGUUCCCUUUGAAAAUUCUUUAAACCAAUAUUUUUGUCACUAAAAACGUGCAUUGUACCAUCAUUGGUCUUGGAUUUCUGCCAAAUUAAAUUUACACCAUCUUGCGUUGACGAGUAAUUCCAUUGCAUGACAUGAAAACUUUUUGUUUCAUUUCGUUUUAAAACCUUGUCAUGCAUUAAAGUACUUUUUGUUGCAUUUUUACUUUGAAAACCUUUUUUUGUUACAUAAUAAUUUCUGCAUUAAAAUCUCUUUUAUAUAACGAACAUUAUCAUUUUCAAUUCAGAUUCCAUUCCAUUGCAUUUUCGACAUAGUCAUUGAUAGGAACAAUUUAUCACAAAAUUGUGUAUGAGAAUUAGCCAUCAAAUUGCUUCAUUCCAGAUUGAUUGUAAGUCAAUUAAUAAAUGAUAAAAUUUGUUAAGAUUCCCACAUUUAAACAUUCUAUUUAUUGAUAUUUUGAUAGAUAUUUUACUAAACCUGUAAUAAAUGUUAACACUAGCCUUCUAGGAAGUUUGAUGUGACUUUUUUUUAUAGGAGAAGUUAGAUAUAUAUAUGUCUUGUUUGUUAGUCUAUUUAAAUUUUAUUUCAUAUUAGUGUCAAUUAAAUAAGUAAUAUAAAGUAUAUUUAAAUAGAUAGAAUUAAUAUACUAAAGAGAAUAUAUUAGCAUCGUUUGUUUAUUAUAGUUUUUAGAAAAUGAAAAGAAAAAAAACCAAAAAGUUACAUAAAAUGAGAAGCUACUUUGAAUAACUUCUCUUGAAAAUCCUUUGAUCUUGAGAUUAAACCACCAAACUUUGGCUUAAUUUAGAUGUCAUCUUUAAAAAAACAGGAUUUGAUCUAUAGUCCAAAUAAAUGUAUUUUAGAUUUUAUCGACUUUGUUGAUUCAAUUUAUAAUUAUAAAAGAUCCAUUAAUAUAAUAUUAAAAAACCACAUUGAAUUAAUAGGUUUUUAUGUGAAAUAUAAGAUAUAAUACACUAAAAAAUAACAUUAUCAAAUAAUAAUGAUUGAUUAUGUUUAAAAUGUUAAAAUAAAAUAAAAUAAAAAGUUUAAGCCAAUAAGUAUUAUUAGAAGAAAAAAAAAACUAUAACUAACAAAUAAUAGAUUAAUGCAAUAUUUCAUGCUAAUAAAAAAUAAAUGAUAGAGUUGGAGUUAGUGGAAAAUUGAAGGGUAAUGGUGGCAACCGUUUCGCUGCAUGUUAACAAGUCAAAAAAAUGAGUCUGAGAUCAUAAGUAUGAAAGACACUACACGAUCAAUACAUCUUACAAUUUAUUACGUGAUUAGAGAAACUUAGAGAAUUUACCUUUGUAUUAUAUCAUUUCAAAUAAGAGAUCUAGAGUUACAAUGGCAAAGUUAGGACAAAUUUGAUGGGGUGGUUAAAUAUAAAGAAAAAAAAUUAAAAACUAAUAUAUUAAACUUAACCAAUAAGCAAAAACAUUCACAAACGAUAUUAAGAUUCACAAAAAAACUACUUAACCUAUAAGAAAAAAUAAAUCAAAAUCAAUACUUUUUUAAAUGUAACUUAUAUCAACAACAAAGGAAAUAAAACCAAAAAAUUAGCUAUUAGAAAUAUUGAGGUUGACGACGUUUUCAAUAAAUUCAUCCAUGUAUAAUUUGAUUAUAUACUAUGCAUACUUUCGAUGUCGUUUUCAACGUAAUAUUUUCGAUUCUAUUUCCAACUUCUAAAAAGUAAUUUUUAUUUUAUUUUAAUAAUUCUAAUAUGAAAAUGGGUUAUAAAUACUACCUGUUGGGACUAAAUAAUAAACCAACAAAUUAAUUAUUAUUGUUAUAUUUCUUUGGACCAAUAAAUAUAUAUUUGAGGUAGUCAAACAUAUAUUAUCACUUAUCAGGGAUAUUAAAAUAUAAAGAUAUACAUACUCACUAAAACAAAACAAUAAAAACUUAGGGUAGCAUUGACUACCUCAUAUUUAAAACAAAAUAAAAACAUUUAAUAAUAUUUGAUUUUGUAUGAUUUUUCAAUUUUUUUAGAAUUUUUAUUUAAAUUGAUUUGGACUUGAUCAUCCUUAAACACAAGAUAGAUUAUAUUUUUCUUUAAAAUCUCUAAAUUAAUAAAUACCAAAAUCACAUUUACCACAUUUUUUUAUAAUCCAACAACAACUAGUCUAAAUUACCGAAAAUAUAGUUAAAUUAUUUUUUUAACACAAAUUAAAAAAUCUAAUAUAAUGAUAAUAAUAAUAAUAAUAAUAAUUAUUAUUAUUAUUAUUAUUAUUAUUAUUUGUAGCUAUUUAAAUAAAUCAGUUUGAUAUGUCCAAAAAUUAUUUUUAUUGACACAUAGCUUGACUUUUUUCCUAAAAAAAUACUUUCAAAGUUUGACAUAGGUGAUAGACCAAGUAAUUAAGUAUUUUUAAUCGGUCUGUAUUAAUUUCACCGAUGUCUUCACUCUAAAAUGAAUUAUCUGCUGUAUUAGAUAUAAUUUUUUGUUAAUAAAACUCGUUCGUCAUUAUCAAUCCCUAUUGAAAUAUUUCCACAAACAAGUAAUCACCUAUCAGCGGAGAAAAACAGAGUGAGCUUUUUGUCUUUUGACAAAUAGAGGAGUGAGUUAUUGAACAAAAAUCUAACUUUAGUUAAGUUUGUCUCCGACAUAAGCUAAGUAAUUGUCUCUUCUCACCUGAUCAGUUAUCCCCAAUGUUUUCACUCAAAUAAAUUAUCAACAAUAUUACUACUAUAUAUUAGUAAAACUUUCUUUGUUAAAAUUAACACUUUCUCAUUAUCAUCGAUCGCUAUUAAAAUAUGUUUUCAAACAAAUCACUAAAUAAACCAUCAAAAUUCGCUGUUGAAAUUGUAUUUCUACCAAAAUAUUUCGGUAAAUUUAUGCUAUAUCAAAAGGCUUUAUUAUUUUGUCCUACGCCAAUCAAAACAUUCAUUCAUCAAUGAGUUCUAUUACAUCGUAAAGAAGCCAACAACCAUUUCUUUUUUUCUAUUUCUUUUUUUUCUUAAAUUCAUAAAUUUCUCAAAUUAAUAAAUCAACAAAUCCAUAGGUUGCACCACCUAAUUUGACAUAAGGUCAAUUAUUUGACACCUUUAUGUUUUUUUUUCUUUCAUACCUCUUUAUUUAAUGUAUUGACUUUGUGUAUGCAAGAUGAUAUUGGUCGUUAUGGUUUGUUUUAUAUGGGUUGAGAAAGUUGAGAAACUAGAUUUACUUACUGGCAAUACAACUAAUGACAAUGAAGUGGUGUAGAGGGAAGAUGAUUGUUGAAAGACAAAGUUGUUAGAAAAAGUUGACAAAAUAUUCCAUGAUUUUAAUUACUUUAAGAAAAAGUUUAUGACAUGGAAAUCUACAUGUUUAUGUAUCACUAUGCUGAGGGGGGCAUUGAGGGUUUUUGAGAGUUCAGGUCUCCAAAUUUUUAGAAGUUUUGUUUUAUAUAGAAAGACUUAUGUUGUUUUCUACAAGACUUGAAAUUAUGUUGCAAAAAUCUUGAAAGUUAUUUAAAAUAUGACCCUUCUUAUAAUCUUGAGAGUGAAAUUUUGUUUCAACCAUUGAAGCAAAAUCAAGUUUUAUGAUAUUGAAUUCUCUUUAAACAUUCCAUUAUUUUCUAAUGCUUACACAUCACAUAAAAUAAUAUUAACUAUCUCUAUUAUAUAUCAUCUGUUGAGAAGAGUUUUUAAAAAUUGAAAUUAUUAAAAUAUUAUUUAUGAUCUACAAUGUCAUAAAAUAAAUUAAUAGAAAUUAAAUAGUUUUACGUUGAUUUCAAUUGAAAAUAAUUUUUUAAAGAAUCUUUAUUGUAAACAAAUUGUUAAUGAUUUGCAGCAAAAAAAUGCAAUGAGGAUGAUAUUCAAAUUAAGAUUAAUAUGUGGAUGAAUGUUGUUGUUAAUAUUAGAUGUUACUAUUACAUAUUCAGGUGGAUAGAUAUAUGUAUAAUUAAUUUUGCUAUAAUAUAAUUUUGGUUUUGGUCUGAUAAGAACUUUUUCAAUGCUUAUAUAAUAUUUAGCUUUUAUGUGGAAGACUAUCUACAAUUUGAAUAGAGUAUUAAAUUUAUAAACUCGUACAGAACAAUCAAAAUCUCAUAGACAACCUUAUCACUGUGUUAUUUUUCGUGAUAUAUUAGUGCAUCUAACGGAACUUGUUGACACAUGAGACAUUUUGUUUGACUUUAGACAAAAUAGAUUAACUUUUUAGUAUAUCGUAAAAUUUGAGUAUGCAUUUUUUUUAUAAUCAUUUACAAAUUUAAAGGAAGGAAUUUGUGAUUAAGUCAUAAAUAAUCAUCUAUCAAUCAAAGUCGACUUAUAGCCCUUUCAAAAUGGAUCAUCACACAUGAUCUCAAAAUUUAAAGUCUCUAAAAAUUAAUUAUAUAGUAUCACUAUUUAUAAAUUAUUAAAUAUUUUAAGUCUAUCGGUUGAGAAAGAAAGACGUGAACAGUUUAACAAAACAAAGGCGACGAAUCACGCCACACUUGACUUAGAGCAACCAAAUGAACCAAUCAAUAAUUGUAUCGCCAGAAUACGUGUGAUGAAAACGAUGUCUACGUGGAACAAGUCCAAGGGUAGGCUGUGGUCCCAGACAACACAAGAUUAUGACACGCGGACGGUCAAGAUUUUACUGAUUAUUCUCUAGCGCAUUAUAAAUUGGGGUCACCGAACAUCAGUUAAGGUAAACAAGUUCCCACCUAGAUUGUUCUUUUUGCAAAUUGUGUUGUGUGAUUUUAUCUGUCUUUUGAGAAUAUGUCUGGCUGCAACUGUGGAAGUAGCUGCAACUGUGGCGAUAGCUGCAAGUAAGGACCACCUUAAUUUUUUCUUGUACUGUUUAUUUCUUAUCUUUAUUAUCAUGAUUAAUGAAAAAGAUUAUUCUUAAUAUUUAGAUUUUUUUUUUCAAAAUCCUUUUGGCUGGGUUUUAUGAAGGAUGCUUCAUUUAUUUCUUUUUUUCUACCUGUUUUUUUUUUCUGACGCGGUUUUUUAUUUUUUAUAUUUUAAAUUGGCCUUCUGGUUACCUAGCUAAUUUUGAUGAAACUUGAUGAGUGCUUAGGAGAGUUUUUUUUUUUUUUUUUUAACAACUUAGGAGGGGAUAUUUAUUGUGAGUGUUUCACAAACUUAUGAAGAUAUUUUCGUGAGUUUUUUUUUCUUCUGAAAUAGCUUAUAUUAAUAAUUAAUUGGAAAAAUACGAAAAUAUUAAAUAGUUAAUAUCCAUGAAGCUCUUAAAUAACACACAAAUUUUGUUUUUAACUUUUAAAAUUAUUCAUUUUUGUAAUUUAACUUUUGUUUCAAUUUUUAUUUAUUUAAAUUUUGACACAGACUAUUAGGGUAUAAUCUAUAAAUUCAUAUUUUAAUAAUCUUUCUUUUUAAUUAUAUAGUACUGAAAAGAUAAAAUUUUGACUUUAGCACAAUGGAAAUUCAAAACAUUCAAUUUUUUUUCUCUAAUAUUUAUUGCCUAAUAAAUUUUUUUGUACUUUUGUUUUAAUUGUCCUAAGUACUAGUACUUUUUUUGUUCAAGUUUACAUUUCACAAUUCAUGUAUAUAAAAAUGUUAACUUUUGUUGCUUCACAGAUGCAACAAGAGAUCAGGAUUGAGCUAUGUCGAAGCCGGCGAAACCACAGAGACGGUGGUUUUGGGCGUUGGUCCGACAAAGAUCCAUUUCGAGGGAGCUGAAAUGAGUGUUGCAGCUGAAGAUGGUGGCUGCAAGUGUGGAUCAAGCUGCACAUGUGACCCUUGCAACUGCAAGUGAGGUGCUUAUAACAAAUGAAAGCUUGAAGCAGAUAUGUGUAAUUGUGUGUAUGGUAUGGUACACAUAUAAUGUAUAAUAAGAAUGUGUGUUUGCUUUGUUAAAAUGUUAAAGUGGUCACGGAUCUCACCUUUAGCAAAUUGAAAUGUUAUAAUUAGAUUUUGUCGAAGGUGAUAUCAGAGAAUUGUUGUCUUUCAUGUGUAAGCAAAUAUAGCUAAUAUGAAUCAUAAUUCUCUGCUUCUUCAAUGAAAUAAAUCUUUGCUUAUCAUAGCUUGGUUUUAGAAGUUUUUUCAGUUUUUGAAAAAUCAAAAUAUAAAAAUAAUCUAAAAACUACUUUUAAUGAGAAGUUCUUGGAACUAUUUUGAUUUGAAGAACAAUAGUUUCCUAAUUAUAUUUGAUGAUAACAAUAUAUAUAUAUAUAUAAUUAAAAUCUAUCAAAAUAAGGAUUUUAGAAAUUUUAACAUAUCAAAUCUAUCACUAAGGAGUUUUAAUUAAGAUAAGAGUGGUGGACAAAAGAGAUAAUAUAGAAAAUAUUCAAAGGGCAAUAAGGAGAAUUUCUCUCCAUUUUCCCUCAUUUAUUCCUUCAAAGAGAAAAAGACUCAAUCAUUCGAUUCGCUCUCUCCCGUGUCCUAAACUUCAAAGAAACCUUCCAUUGGUACUCUUCAUCGCCUCUCUCAAAUACUCUAUUUCUCAUUCUUUUUCAAAACCACCAAAAACAUUAGUUUACUAAACUUCAUAACGUCGGACCUGCCCAUGCAUUCGCUCUCUCCCGUGUCCUAAACUUCAAAGAAACCUUCCAUUGGUACUCUUCAUCGCCUCUCUCAAAUACUCUAUUUCUCAUUCUUUUUCAAAAUCACCAAAAACAUUAGUUUACUAAACUUCAUAACGUCGGCCCUGACCCAUUGCAUGGGCAGGUUCAGCGUUCAACUUUCAAUAGUUGACCAAAUCACAUUGAAGAGAAAACAAGCAACAAGGAAAAACUCCAAAACAAUUGGAAUAAGAUGCGAAUACUAAAGAGGAAAAUAGAUAACUACUCCAAAUCAACUCAAAUCGAAUAGGAUAACUUUCAUAGAAUAAUGUGAGUUAUGUUACAUUAACUUCUUUUAACAUGAUGAUUAUGGGAAUUAAUUCUCUAAAACUCUUUAAUUCUUGUCAAAAGUUGUUUUGGUGGAAUUACGGGUUAGAAGAAUUUAGAGCGUUAGGAAAUGAAUUUUUUAGCAUAUAAGUGUUUUGAAAUUGCACCCAAAUGAUUUUAAAUGUCAUACACGUUGUUCGUUUGAUCUUUGUAUAAUUGUUGUGUUAAAUUUUUUGGAACUCUUGGGAUUUUGAGUAAAGAAUUGUAGUUUAAUGUGUAAAUCCUAUCACUGAAGGCAAAUGUGUGUGUCUUAGAAGCUCUUUGACUCUUGUCUCUAUAGUUUUGCCUCUAGGUGUCAUUUUGUAACCUUGGGGUUUUUGUCUCUGAUUGUUGUUUUAAAAACCUAAGUAUUUUUACCUUCGAUAAUUCUUUUCUAUUUGCUACCUCUGAUUCCUAACUCAUGAUUUUCGACAUUCUACCUCUGAUGAAUAAUUUAUGUUUUUUGGUAUGUUGCCUCUAAUGCUGUUUCUCAACUCUGAGCAUUUUUGCCUUUAGGUUUUCCUUCUGUUUUUACCUUUGGUAGCUGUUUUAUUAUUUGUUGUAUUUUGCAUCUAGUAAAUUAUUUUUGAUUUUGCCUCUAGUGAAAUGCUUCUAUUUUGCCUCUGAUAAUACUCAAGCUCCUCUGAUCAGGCUUUCUUUUAUCCAAGUUUCUCUUAUCAAAAUGCAUAUGAUGCACGUAUCUUCUAAUCAUGCUGCCUUUAGUCCAAGUUCUUCUGAUCAUGCUACCCCUUAUCCAAGUUCCUCUGAUCACACUACAUCUAAUCUAAGUUCUUAUGAUUCUUCCUCUUGACACGUAUUCUUUGAUUCUUCAUUUGGACGCGUAUCAUCCAAUUCUUCCUCUAAAUGUGUAUCCUCUGAUUCUUCCUCUGAACGUGUAUCCACAUAUUCUUUCUCUAGACAUGUAUCCUCUGAUUCUACCUCUAGAUGUGUAUCCUUUGAUUAUUCUCUGAUUCUUCCUUUCUAUGUUUAUCCUCUAAUUCAUCCUCUAACUCUGUGUUUGGUCACAUAUCUUCUGACUCCGAUUAUGUUGCCUUUGACCUAUAUACUUCUAGUUAUGUUGCAUCUGGUUAGAGUUUUCCUUUGGUUCCAGCUUUGAUCUGGAGUUUAGAUUUAAUUCCCAGUUGAUUUUCAAUAUAUUUUUAAGUUAUUAUAAGUGUUAUGGGGUAACGAUGCAUUGCAAAUAUCAUACUAUCAAGGGCAUUGCAUACAUAACAUCUCAAGUGCAUUACACUCUUAUUAAUCAGAUCAUGCAAGGUCUUAUUUACGUGGGACAUUUAGGUUUGUUCUAGGCAUGGAAUAAUAGGUAGAUGAGAACAAUCAGGACGCUGGUUAGAGUUUGGUCUGACAUCAUUUACCAAUCAAGACUCAAUUAUCUUGGUGACAUACAUUAAGAUAUUGAGUGAAUCUUCCUUGUUUCAAGGAAAAAAAUUUAGGUCAUGCAUAGUUUUCAAAAUCAUAAUGAAAGAAUGAUUUCAGUUAAGCUUUUAUGAAAAAUUGAAGUUAAGAGCUCCAUCAUGAGAUGCAUCAUAAUUUUAUAUUUUUAUGCAUAUUUAUGAAUAAAUCUUUUUAAACUACUCCUUCCUUUAUUUUUAGAUCUCAGUAAGCUUUUUAUCUCACCUAUUUUAUUUUUUAUACAUUAACAACUGAAGGUGACUGAUGCUCAGUUCCAGUACUAGAACAUGAUAUGCAAGCUCUGUUUUGUACUUAGUGCUUUAUUUUUUUUAUUUGAUGUAACAUGAUGUAUUAGGGAACAUUUUUAUAAUUUCAGUAUUGUUGCUGUAAUUUAAUCAAAUAGUUCAUUAUAUUGAGUUGUAAACUAUGUUGUUUAAAUGUAGUUACAAGUUAUUUUAAUGAUACUUAUUAUUGAUUUGUAAUAGUUGUUUUUCUUUUAUUGAGGUGUAUGGUUUCAAUUGUCAAAUUCUAGAUAAUUAAUAAUGGAUCUUAAAAAUUUAAAAUUAUUUAUAAAUAAUUUAAAAUUAUAAUAAAUAAAUUAUUUUAAAUUAUUUACUUUAAAUUAGUAUUUAUUAAAAUUCUUUUAAAAUUUAUAUUAUAUAAGUUGUUUAUUUACAUUAUUUAAAAUUAUAAUAAAUAUAUUAUAAGGGGUAAAAAUGAAUUAUAGGCAUAAUAAUAAAGAUAAAAUUAAAAGAAAAAUAGUAAACUAAAAUCUAUAAAUUUAUAAGCUUCUUGAAUUGACUGAUAUAAAAUCGUUAUAAACUAUAAUCUAUAAGUCCAUAAAUGACUGUUAUCAAACAGACUUUAUAACUUAUAAAUUAUAAACUCUUUUGUUGGACUUACCAAAAAGAGGAAAAUUUUAUACUAUAUUCUUAUGUUUUAUACAAUCUAUCUAUUUUACUCUUUUUUUUAAAAAAAAAAUACUUUUUUUCUACUCUGCUAAAUAGUUUAUUUCAAAUUUUCCUAAAUGUUUCAAAAAUUUUGAAUUUUGUGUAUCGUAAAUUUUUUUAAAAAUUUUUCAGUAAACAAAUAUAUUUUUAAAAAAUUGAUCUUUAUGUAUAAAAAUUGGAAAUUUGAAACUUUUUUAAAAUUUUUUUUUUAAAACAAAACAUAAGAUUUUACUUUUUUAUAAAAAAAAAUAAAAUAAAAAGAAAAAUUUAUUAAUUUGUUGGGGUUGAAAAAUCUGGAGUAAAGUUUUUCAUAAAGAUGCAUGAGGUAGAAGAUAAGCCAAGUAAUUUACUCUUCUCAGUCGGCUGAACUUAAAAUAAAUUAUCCGCGAUUAGAUAUUAACUUUUAUGUUAAAAAUACUCGUUCGUCAUUAUCAAUCGCUAUUAAAAUAAUUCCUCAACAAGUAAUCAUCUAUUAGCGAAGAAACAUAGGAGUGAGUUAUUUACCAAACGAACGCGACGAAUCAUGCUACACUUGACUUAGAGAAACCAAGCAAUAAUUGUAUCGCCAAAAUACGAGUGAUGAAAACGAUGUCUACGUGGAACAAGUCCAAGGGUAGUCUGUGGUCCCAGACAACAUUAGAUUAUGACACGUGGACGGUCUAUAUUUCACUUAUUAUUCUCAAGCGCAUUAUAAAUUGGGGUCACGGAAUAUCAGUUAAGGCAACAAGUUCUCACCAAUAUUGUUCUUUUUGCAAAUUGUGUUGUGAGUGAUUUUAUCUUUGUCUUUUGAGAAUAUGUCUGGCUGCAACUGUGGAAGUAGCUGCAACUGUGGUGAUAGCUGCAAGUAAGGACCACCUUAAUUUUUUGUUAUACUGUUUAUUUCUUAUCUUGGAAAAUAUUCUUAAUAUUUUGAUUCGUUUUUUCAGUUCUAUUUGCUGGCUUCUACGAAUUUUGUUUUGUUUUUAAAAAAAUUGAAGAAUGAGACAUUAUUAUUAUCUAUUGAUGUUACAUAGUUAAUGCUUGAUUUUUUCUCUACAUGAGAUUAUUUUUAUUGUUAAAAGAAAUAUAAGAUUUCACUUUUUUUUUGUCUUAUCGUAAUUAUUACUCUAAAGAGAUUUUUAUAUUCGAAUUUGACACACACAAUAAGUUCAAUCUAAAAAUAUCUAACUUUGACGAAAAUUAAAGAAAAUGAAAAAUAUAUUUUUUUUUUAAUUCUAAUAGCUAUUGAUAAAUAAAUUAUUUUCUCUAAUUCAAGUUUUAUAUUUCAAAUUGUGUGUGUGGAUGUUAAUUUUUAUUGCUUCACAGAUGCAACAAGAGGUCUAGUGGAUUGAACUAUGCCGAAGGCGGCGAAACCACAGAGACGGUGGUUUUGGGCGUUGGUCCGACGAAGAUUCAGUUCGAGGGAGCUGAAAUGAGUGUUGCAGCUGAAGAUGGUGGCUGCAAGUGUGGAUCAAGCUGCACAUGUGACCCUUGCAACUGCAAGUGAGGUGCAUAUAGCAAAUGAAAGCUUGAGGCAGAGAUAUUGGAACCAAUAUGUGUAAUUGUGUGUAUCGGUACACAUAUAAUAUAUAAAAAAAAGCAUGUGUGUUUGCUUUAUUAGAAUAAUAAAGUUGUCAUGGAUCUCACCUUUAGCAAAUUGAAAUUUUCUAAUUAGAUUUUGUUGAAGGUGUUGUGAGAGCAAUGGUUGCUUUGUGUGUUGAUUUUCUUGUGUAAGCAAAUUUAGCUAAUAUGAAUCAUAAAUCUCUGCU
RNAcentral lists this long non-coding RNA (22079 nucleotides) under Cicer arietinum (chickpea). RNAcentral describes it as "long non-coding RNA (CARI_LNC002022)". Lineage: Eukaryota; Viridiplantae; Streptophyta; Magnoliopsida; Fabales; Fabaceae. The record is from RNAcentral.